CCUACGGGAGGCAGCAGUGAGGAAUAUUGGUCAAUGGCCGGAAGGCUGAACCAGCCAAGCCGCGUGAAGGACGAAGGUGCCCAGCAUUGUAAACUUCUUUUGUCAAGGGACAAAAUCAGGCUCGAGAGCCUGACCGAGGGUACUUGAAGAAAAAGCAUCGGCUAACUCCGUGCCAGCAGCCGCGGUACUACUGAGGAUGCGAGUGUUAUCCGGAUUUGUUGGGGUUAAAGGGUGCGUAGGGGGACUGUUAAGUCAGCGGUAAAAUCCCGGGGCUAAACCCCGGCGAGCCGUUGAAACUGGCUGUCUUGAGAUGUCGAGAGGUAUGCGGAAUGCGGAGUGUAGCGGUGAAAUGCUUAGAUAUUGCGCAGAACUCCGAUGGCGAAGGCAGCAUACCGGCGGCGAUCUGACGCUGAGGCACGAAAGCGUGGGUAUCGAACAGGAUUAGAUACCCGUGUAGUC
RNAcentral lists this ribosomal RNA (459 nucleotides) under uncultured bacterium. RNAcentral describes it as "partial 16S ribosomal RNA". It matches the Rfam family "Bacterial small subunit ribosomal RNA", at positions 338 to 795 of the family's 1533-position model. The record is from RNAcentral.